Non-coding RNA from Psilocybe cubensis, 86 nucleotides. The record is from the annotation of a RefSeq genome assembly. Lineage: Eukaryota; Fungi; Basidiomycota; Agaricomycetes; Agaricales; Agrocybaceae.
UCGGGUAUGGUGUAACGGCUAACAUUGCCGCCUCUCAUGAUUUAUCCAGAUCGCGGCAGCUCGGGGUUCGAUUCCCCGUAUCCGAA